Molecule: non-coding RNA, 73 nt
Organism: Desmophyllum pertusum
Lineage: Eukaryota; Metazoa; Cnidaria; Anthozoa; Scleractinia; Caryophylliidae
Source: the annotation of a GenBank genome assembly
GGUACGGUGGCAUAUUGGUUAGCGCGUUGGAUUCUGGAUCGAGCAGUUCAGGUUCAAGCACUGGCUGGGGUCG